Molecule: ribosomal RNA, 416 nt
Filed under: uncultured Singulisphaera sp.
Lineage: Bacteria; Pseudomonadati; Planctomycetota; Planctomycetia; Isosphaerales; Isosphaeraceae
Description: bacterial SSU rRNA
Rfam family: Bacterial small subunit ribosomal RNA
Source: RNAcentral
UCGAGAAUCUUCGGCAAUGGGCGCAAGCCUGACCGAGCGACGCCGCGUGGAGGACGAAGGCCUUCGGGUUGUAAACUCCUGUCGAGGGGGAAGAAGGCUCCGCAAGGAGCUUGACUGAUCCCUGGAGGAAGCACGGGCUAAGUUCGUGCCAGCAGCCGCGGUAAGACGAACCGUGCGAACGUUAUUCGGAAUCACUGGGCUUAAAGCGCGUGUAGGCGGAUGAGCACGUCUGUCGCUGAAAUCCCCCGGCUCAACCGGGGAACGGGCGUGGAUACGGCUUGUCUGGAGGGGCGUAGGGGGACCUGGAACUUCCGGUGGAGCGGUGAAAUGCGUUGAGAUCGGAAGGAACGCCCGUGGCGAAAGCGAGGUCCUGGACGCCUACUGACGCUGAGACGCGAAAGCCAGGGGAGCGAACG